This 500-nucleotide ribosomal RNA is filed under the name uncultured bacterium. RNAcentral describes it as "partial 16S ribosomal RNA". It matches the Rfam family "Bacterial small subunit ribosomal RNA", at positions 30 to 523 of the family's 1533-position model. The record is from RNAcentral.
AUUGAACGCUGGCGGAAUGCUUUACACAUGCAAGUCGAACGGCAGCACGGACUUCGGUCUGGUGGCGAGUGGCGAACGGGUGAGUAAUGUAUCGGAACGUGCCCAGUCGUGGGGGAUAACGUAAUGAAAAUUACGCUAAUACCGCAUACGAUCUAUGGAUGAAAGCGGGGGAUCGCAAGACCUCGCGCGAUUGGAGCGGCCGAUAUCAGAUUAGGUAGUUGGUGGGGUAAAGGCCCACCAAGCCAACGAUCUGUAGCUGGUCUGAGAGGACGACCAGCCACAGUGGAACUGAGAGACGGUCCAGACUCCUACGGGAGGCAGCAGUGGGGAAUUUUGGACAAUGGGCGAAAGCCUGAUCCAGCCAUUCCGCGUGCAGGAUGAAGGCCCUCGGGUUGUAAACUGCUUUUGUACAGAACGAAAAGGUUUCUACUAAUACUAGGAGCUCAUGACGGUACUGUAAGAAUAAGCACCGGCUAACUACGUGCCAGCCGCCGCGGUAA